UGCCGUCCAAUGUGGGAGCUCAUCCACCAACGCUCCAUUUGAUAGCAUCCUCUACAUGCAUUCCCAGGCUCGAGUUUUCCCACAGGUAAACCAUCUACCGCAAUUUUCGACAGUCUCAAAAAAAAAGAAAAAAAAAAGAAAAAAAAAAAUCAAUUCGCUGAUUUUAAUCUCUCUGUCUAUCUUUCCUCGUGAAGAUGCAAGAGUAAGCCUUCUCACGCAUGUUUCGAAUGGAAUGUUCAUUUUUCUCUUGAAGCGCAAGGACGGUUUCAAGACCAUACAAGGGUUCUAAGACUAAAGAUUCAUCAAAUUGACAUGGUUUAAGGAGCUAUACAAAGCAUUUAAAACCAUGUUGAUGGAUCAAAUAUUUAGAGCACA
This 375-nucleotide long non-coding RNA is filed under the name Elaeis guineensis (African oil palm). RNAcentral's name for it is "long non-coding RNA (EGUI_LNC013900)". The record is from RNAcentral. Lineage: Eukaryota; Viridiplantae; Streptophyta; Magnoliopsida; Arecales; Arecaceae.